RNAcentral lists this ribosomal RNA (254 nucleotides) under uncultured bacterium. Its description in RNAcentral is "partial 16S ribosomal RNA". It matches the Rfam family "Bacterial small subunit ribosomal RNA", at positions 524 to 776 of the family's 1533-position model. The record is from RNAcentral.
UACGGGGGGGGGCAAGCGUUGUUCGGAAUUACUGGGCGUAAAGCGUGCGCAGGCGGUUGUGCAAGACAGAUGUGAAAUCCCCGGGCUCAACCUGGGAAUUGCAUUUGUGACUGCACGGCUAGAGUGUGUCAGAGGGGGGUAGAAUUCCACGUGUAGCAGUGAAAUGCGUAGAGAUGUGGAGGAAUACCGAUGGCGAAGGCAGCCCCCUGGGAUAACACUGACGCUCAUGCACGAAAGCGUGGGGAGCAAACAGG